GGUUGAUCCUGCCAGAAGUCAUAUGUUUGUUUUUAAGAAUAAGCCAUGUAUGUUUAAGUAUUAGUUUUUAUAUGAUGAAACUGCGAAUAGCUUAUUAAAACAGUUAUAGUUUAUUUGAUAGAUUAUUAAAAUUAUUAUUAAAUGGAUAACAACAGUAAUUCUGAGGCUAAUACAUGAAUAAUUUUUUUAAUAAAAAGGUAUAUUUGAAAAUAAAAGAAGUAAUGUAUGUUUUAACAUAAGUAAAUGUUGAAUUAAUUUAAUUAAAUGAAUUAUAAAUAUAUUAAUGAAUCAAU
Molecule: ribosomal RNA, 293 nt
Filed under: uncultured eukaryote
Lineage: Eukaryota
Description: partial 18S ribosomal RNA
Rfam family: Eukaryotic small subunit ribosomal RNA
Source: RNAcentral